CGUCCCUCUUUCUGACUCUUUGCUUUCCCUCCAUAUCUGGGGGGCAGCUGUCUCCUCAGUUGUAGCCCCUGGGUUCCAACAGAGCCAAUCCUGCCUCCGGUUCAGGCCUGGUUUCUCAGAGAAUGACAUUUUCCAGGGAGCAGUGAUGAGUUCAGGGUGCACAUGACCCCAGUGAGAUCAAUCAGGACCUCUGAGACUGAAUUCUAGAACUUGUUUGAAUGAUCAAGAACACAGACUUGCUCUCUGCCUCAGAAUUUGAACCUGGAGGAUGAGUAGGCGGAGCUCCCACACCACCAUGAGUCCACUGGGGAAGAGCCUGUGGAAGAGAGGUAUCUACCCCAAGGAAUCUGGGAAAGGAGUUGCUUUUCCGUGUCAUCACUGCUUUCUGCAUUGAGAAAUUAACAACUGGCUGUGUUUUCCUGCCCCGUAGAUGGAUGGGCAUUCAUCAAUAUCCUUCUCAAAUGUCUUCUACUUGACAAGUUGGGUUUCACAGAAGUCAACUGCAAACCACUUAGCGACCUCACCCUCCACACUCUACAAAUGUCCCUGAUCAUAAAACCAGAACAUCAGUGGUGUGGCCAUUAAAAAAAGCAUCAAAAACCCUCCCAUGCAUACAAAACGGGAGGCUGCACUGUCAAAGCUGCCCGCAGCCCAAGUGUGGUCCCUCCAUGCACGGGGCUGCUGCUGUACUGGGUUUAAUACAGUAGGUCUGCGACACCAUUAAUUUUGCUUGUUCCUCUCCCCUCCCCCAUCCCGUGCUCUCUUUCAUUUCCUCCUCAUAAAUAUGAAGAACGUAUUCCCAA
Panthera uncia (snow leopard) is the source of this 803-nucleotide long non-coding RNA. RefSeq lists it as uncharacterized. The transcript is spliced from 2 exons. The record is from RefSeq and is a predicted model, not a curated record. Lineage: Eukaryota; Metazoa; Chordata; Mammalia; Carnivora; Felidae.